UUUUAUCGGAGAGUUUGAUCCUGGCUCAGGACGAACGCUGGCGGCAUGCCUAACACAUGCAAGUCGAACGGACCGAGUUG
RNAcentral lists this ribosomal RNA (80 nucleotides) under Gallicola sp. RNAcentral describes it as "partial 16S ribosomal RNA". It matches the Rfam family "Bacterial small subunit ribosomal RNA", at positions 1 to 78 of the family's 1533-position model. The record is from RNAcentral. Lineage: Bacteria; Bacillati; Bacillota; Tissierellia; Tissierellales; Peptoniphilaceae.